CCUACGGGAGGCAGCAGUGAGGAAUAUUGGUCAAUGGACGCAAGUCUGAACCAGCCAAGUAGCGUGCAGGAUGACGGCCCUCCGGGUUGUAAACUGCUUUUAGUUGGGAAUAAAAGGGGGCUCGUGAGCCCCGUCUUGUAUGUACCAUCAGCAAAAGGACCGGCUAAUUCCGUGCCAGCAGCCGCGGUAAUACGGAGGGUCCGGGCGUUAUCCGGAUGUAUUGGGUUUAAAGGGAGCGUAGGCCGGCUUUUAAGUCAGCGGUGAAAGUCCGCGGCUCAACCGUGGAAUUGCAGUUGAAACUGGAGGCCUUGAGUGCACACAGGGAUGCCGGAAUUCAUGGUGUAGCGGUGAAAUGCUUAGAUAUCAUGAAGAACUCCGAUCGCGAAGGCAAGUGUCCGGGGUGCAACUGACGCUGAGGCUCGAAAGUGCGGGUAUCAAACAGGAUUAGAUACCCUUGUAGUC
RNAcentral lists this ribosomal RNA (462 nucleotides) under uncultured bacterium. RNAcentral describes it as "partial 16S ribosomal RNA". It matches the Rfam family "Bacterial small subunit ribosomal RNA", at positions 338 to 795 of the family's 1533-position model. The record is from RNAcentral.